Aquila chrysaetos chrysaetos is the source of this 3378-nucleotide long non-coding RNA. RefSeq lists it as uncharacterized. NCBI's taxonomy places the organism in Eukaryota, Metazoa, Chordata, Aves, Accipitriformes, Accipitridae. The record is from RefSeq and is a predicted model, not a curated record. The transcript has 2 exons.
CUAUGAGAAGGAUCCCAAAGUCUCCAUAACACUGGCAUGGCUAGCUCAUGGCAAACAUGCUUGGGAUAAUGCAGACACAGAGUGACAUAUUUUUAAUGAGUCCUGGCCUUACAAAAUAUGCUAUAUAACUUACUGGCCUAGAGAGACUAGGAACGUCUCUCUAAAGUUCAUGGUUUUGCUUGAAUCGGUUUGGCUUUUGCAUCGCUAGUUGUCCUGCUAGCUGGAGCACAGACAGAUUGUUGGUCUCUGUUUCCAGGGCUGCAUUGACUAGUCUUGCUCCCAGCUGGGUUGGAUGAAAAUAGCACUAAGAGACGAUGGGGUGCGUACCUUAGAGCACCUUGUAUUGCAGGCAGUCCAGGAGAGGACAGGAGGUUGAGAAACAGUGGAAUUUGCUUUGGUUAUAACUCUAAACACUGGUGUUUACUUUUCUGUGCGGGUGCUGUGGGUGUCGAGCUGCUCCAGAGACAAGGACCUCAGCUGACACUGGCAGGUAUGCGGAGGGACUGGCAGUGGCAGGGGCACAGGACCAGUGCUGGCCUUCUGUCAGGCGCUGCGACUGUGAAAGCAAAGCCUGUCUGCCCACGUGAGUGCAGGGGAACAGAGGCACUGCAGCCCGCAUCUGUGCAUUCAAAAAGGAGAUGAGCCCUGCGGGAGCCUUUUGGAGCAAAACCGCCUGCAGUGGCUGGAGAGUCGGCUCUCCCCAGUGAGCAGAGCCUUGCUUCCCUGCUCCUUACGCAGCUGGAGGGGUAAGAGAUCCCUCUGGGCAAAGCACGGGCAUGAGCCCGUCUCCCCAGCCAAAGCCUUUCUGGUGGUCUCUGCCUCCACAGCCCUCCACCGCGGCCCUCCCCAUGGCUCCUCCGGUCCUCCGCAGCCGGAGGCGCCAGGUCUGACUGCCACAGGCCGGGUGGCCGUGAGCCGGCUAGGCUUGGGACAGCCAGCGCGGCUGCUGGCACAGCUUCCCUGGCGACCUGCCCUGUGUUGCCUUCAGCUGGGGUGCGAGGAGGGUGGCCACCAGCUCCGUGCGACCCAGGCCCGCCGAGGUGACGCGGUUGCGCGGGACGCAGGCAUGAGGUGUUUGCCCUCCCCCAGCCGCCUCUCGCCCCGCUCGUGAGCUUUGCGCCCCAGCGGCAGGAUGGGGAGAGCUGCUUUCACAACCUGGACGUGUUGUCACUCACAUCCAGACAUUUCCUGUUAUCUAACCUCAGCCUUAUCUUCCCCAUUCGCAGCUUCCUCUCGAAGGAGGAGCAGCCCCUUCAAAAACGAGCUGUGUGCCUGGGCUGUGCCCCCACCGUGCUCCUCCUGCGCGGCCCCCGGUGCCGGCCCCGCUCGCCUCGGGCCAGGCUGGCUCAGCACGGUAGGUGCCAGCUCCCUGUCCUGCCUGGCGGAAGGGGUGGCUGGGGACGGGAGGAUAGGUCCUUUAGGGGUGACCUCCCGUUUCUCCUCCAGGAGGUCCCAAAGGACCACGGGGGUUGGGACUCCAAAACCCGCAUGGUGUCCAUGUUCCUGGCAACGCAGAAAGCUGUCCUCCCACCCCACGUUACACCUCGAGCUUCGGGGGAACUAAGCCAGCUUGGGUUUGGACUGCCUCCCCUUGGUGUCGGGAGUGCGUCUGCCUGAGCCCGAAGAGCUUUUUUGCAUCUUCCUUCAGGGGAAAAGCGGUGGUGUCGGGCCGGGUGUACUCUGUUAAGGGUAGGCUAGUGGAUGUGAACGCCACUGGUCCUAGCCAGGGAGCACUGCUCUCUGGACCGUGAUUCAUUGAUGAGGAUGAAUUACAAUUAAUAGCAAUAGCGACGUGUAUGUCGUCCUACUUGGUACUGGGAUGUAUGUGCGCGUGCUCCCCCCAGCUCGCACGCACGCACAUGCUGCAGAUGAGUUGCUGGCAGUAGGGAGAUUUUGAUCUAAAUUAGUCAUAGAUGAGACAGCGCACAAAGAGCAGGGGAAGUUGCGGGAUGGAGGAGGGUUUUACCAGGCAGAGACGGUGUCCCAGCCGGGCACAAGAGCGCUCUUCAGCUCCUUUUCUUGCUGUCCCGAUGGCUUCAGGACAGUGGACGAAGGUUUACCAUGCACCCCUCUUCCCUCCCCUCAGGUGUCGGGGGCACAAGCAGCCACGGGGGCACAGUCUGGCGCGCUGGGGUGGGGGCCGCAGCGCUCAGGAUGAUGGCACCCCAGCGAAGACAUCUGCAACCCCCGCUGAGAGCUGCAGUGCAGCACUGCGUGUAUUUGACAAGCUGAGUUCGACACUCAGUGUGCAGAGUGUCAGUUUGUCAAAUACCCCAAGUGAGGCAUUUGCUGAGCAACGCGGCGGCACACCGAGGGGACCGGUUCCUUCCUCCCACUCGGGCAGGGGCCUUCCUGUCCAUAUUCUGCUCCUCUCCAAAAACCCAGCAAGGUAUUGAACAACACAUCCCAUCAUUACUGAACACUCGACUCUGAUCCUGUGCUGUCAGACUUCCCUUCCACCCCAAUUUUGGAAGCGCCUAUCACGGUGGUAUUCCUAAUGGCAAAUCUGUACAGAAGUGGUGCUGGCACAGUUUCUGGGCAUUGUAAAGGCAGACAAUUGGGCCCUGGCUCCUUAUUCUUUGCAGCCAAAGACAAUGCUGUUCUCUUCCACAGCAUUAACUAGCCAGCUGUUAAUCAAUAAUCUUGCUCACUUAACAAGGAUUCUGGCAACUGUAAUCACAACAUCAUGGGUAAGGGCAGCAUUAUCCAUAAUACAGAAUCUUUUCUUUGGACAUGUAGGAAUCUUUUUUUUUUUUAUUUGAAGUUGGAGGACAAACUAAUAAGGCUGCUGAUUAACUUCCCUCUAUCCCAUUAGCCAGUGAAAAAUGCAUAUUUGCUCAAUCUGUUUUUGAAUUAGGCCAUGGAGUCCAUCACUUCUCCUUGAAGCCUUGUUAUUUGGAGAAGACUCCUUGUUUUGGGACAGUUAUUCCUAGUCAGCACUUGCAGCAAGGUUGCUUAUUGCUUUUCUUGCCUUUCUGCUAUUUAGUUAAAGUAAUUCCAUGUAAAUCAUCCCACUUGAAGAUCUAAUGAUUGGUAAGCAUUUUUAGUCACUGACUUGUAGCACAUCAGAUCUGCAACUUGAGGUAUCUCAGGGUGGGGGGUAAUGACAGAGGGAGAGUGCCCAACCCAGUUUGACAAAUCAAACUCUCUGAAAGCAUUUAGCAUUGAAAACUCAGAAACUAAGAAAAAAUCUCAAGACCCUACUGACUUGUUUUAGGACAGUACCACCAGCAAAUUUUGCAAUGUUUGACAAUAUUGAUAAACUUUAAUACUAAGCUUUUGGGCUUUUUGUUGCAACUAUUUCUUGCUAAAUAUUUUGAAGAAGUUGGAGUUUGUACAAAGCUGGGACUAAUGAAUGUAUAACAUUGCCUAAGCAAA